GACGAACGCUGGCGGCGUGCUUAACACAUGCAAGUCGAGCGGUAAGGCCCUUUCGGGGGUACGACGAGCGGCGAACGGGUGAGUAACACGUGGGUGACCUGCCCUCAGCUCUGGGAUAAGCCUGGGAAACCGGGUCUAAUACUGGAUAUGACUCCAUGACGCAUGUUGUGGGGUGGAAAGCCUUGUGCGGCUGAGGAUGGGCCCGCG
Molecule: ribosomal RNA, 207 nt
Filed under: uncultured bacterium
Lineage: Bacteria
Description: partial 16S ribosomal RNA
Rfam family: Bacterial small subunit ribosomal RNA
Source: RNAcentral